Molecule: unclassified non-coding RNA, 300 nt
Filed under: Nemania sp.
Lineage: Eukaryota; Fungi; Ascomycota; Sordariomycetes; Xylariales; Xylariaceae
Description: partial contains 5.8S ribosomal RNA, internal transcribed spacer 2, and large subunit ribosomal RNA
Rfam family: 5.8S ribosomal RNA (bases 1-71)
Source: RNAcentral
GUGAAUCAUCGAAUCUUUGAACGCACAUUGCGCCCGCCAGUAUUCUGGCGGGCAUGCCUGUUCGAGCGUCAUUUCAACCCUUAAGCCCCAGUUGCUUAGCGUUGGGAGCCUACCGGACCCCGUCCCGUAGCUCCCCAAAGUCAGUGGCGGAGCCGGCUUGACACUCCAGACGUAGUAGCUCUUACACAUCGCCUGUAGCCCAAGCCCGGCGCCCUGCCGUAAAACACCCCCCAAUGUAUAGGUUGACCUCGGAUCAGGUAGGAAUACCCGCUGAACUUAAGCAUAUCAAUAAGCGGAGGA